CCUACGGGUGGCAGCAGUGGGGGAUAUUGCACAAUGGGGGAAACCCUGAUGCAGCGACGCCGCGUGAGUGAAGAAGUAUUUCGGUAUGUAAAGCUCUAUCAGCAGGGAAGAAAAUGACAGUACCGGACUAAGAAGCCCCGGCUAACUACGUGCCAGCAGCCGCGGUAACACGUAGGGGGCAAGCGUUAUACGGAUUUACUGGGUGUAAAGGGAGCGUAGACGGUUAUGUAAGUCUGGAGUGAAAGCCCGGGGUUCAAUCCCGGGACUGCUUUGGAAACUGGGUAACUGGAGUACGGGAGGGGCGAGCGGAAUUCCUGGUGUAGCGGUGAAAUGCGUAGAUAUAAGGAAGAACACCAGCGGCGAAGGCGGCCUGCUGGACUGAAACUGACGUUGAGGCUCGAAAGCGUGGGGAGCAAACAGGAUUAGAUACCCGUGUAGUC
This 440-nucleotide ribosomal RNA is filed under the name uncultured bacterium. Its description in RNAcentral is "partial 16S ribosomal RNA". It matches the Rfam family "Bacterial small subunit ribosomal RNA", at positions 338 to 795 of the family's 1533-position model. The record is from RNAcentral.